This is a long non-coding RNA of Pan troglodytes (chimpanzee), 1218 nucleotides long. Lineage: Eukaryota; Metazoa; Chordata; Mammalia; Primates; Hominidae. The record is from Ensembl.
CUCCUUAACUAAAUUGUACACAAACAGAACUUUCCUCCAGAAAAAGAGAGUAAACAAAGCCUUUUGAAGACCAGGAACUGAGGUUAAACAGAAUCCCCCCCGCAUUUGGUGGUGUUCCUGUACUGCAGGGAACUCAUGGUUCUCUUUGGGGCCUAGAGAGCGGUGGGCUAUGAACUUCAUCUGACAUUCUGAGCUAGUUUCCUGUCAAUAUUCCCAUUGAGUGGAAGCCAUUGAUCAACCAAGUGAAGCUGCUAAAAAUGGAUUCCAGCCUGGGAAAAAUUCCCUGGGGAGGCUGUACAUGUCCCGGCCUGGCCUGGCAAGGCUGGGUCCUUUGUGACUCAACUGGGUGAGAGCUGAGGGCUGUUCCACCAGUCAAAACCCCAGCCACAAUAACCUGGCUCUCGGGUCUCAGAUACCUAGCACCUACUGCAGGCUGAGGAGAGAGUGGAAGGAAGAAGCAGGUCCCCCUAGUGUGGACUGGGCUGAGAUCGGGUCAUCUGCUGAACUCAGCAGCCACACACACCCUAGCUAAUUCCAGCGUCUCCAGAAGCAUGAGCGUAAUGAGGGGCUGGUGGUGGUCUUGCCGCGUCUCUGCCCUCCUUUCUUGCUUAGUGGCUCAUCACACUUUGAUGGAGAUGAACAAUGAGGGGAGGGGCUAGGGGGCCAGUGGGUUAGACAAAGAAGGAAACUGUGCCUUGGCCAGAUCCACGCCAAUUAUGUCUGAAUAAACGCAUCCACAGUGCGAGCUAAAGAGGCUUCCUUCCCUCACCCCACUCCGUUUUAUUUAUUUUUAUCUUGGUCUGGAAAGUUGGACAUAUUUCCUGUACCGUCCUGGUACCCAGAUGGCCUGUUUGAGUAAGCAGUGGGGAAGAAGGUCAAUAAUACAUCAGCAUGCAGAGUCUCCGCUAAGGGCUGGGCUUCCUUGGGGUCUGAGGACGUGAGAGGGCAGAGUUAAUGGUCACCUGUGUGAGAGGUGCGGCUGCAAACCUGAGGGAUGAGACUGUCUUGGGAGGCAGAGCAAGAUGGCCUGUUUUCCUGAGAUUCUUCUGGGCUCAGAGGUGGGACUGGGGAUCACAGCAGGGUCUCCUUGAAAAUGCCUCACUUUUCAAGACUGAUUCUUCAGUGACACUGAAACACUAUUUGUACCACAGGUAUAAGAGCUACAUUUCAACUUCAUCCAAAUUGUGAGUAGGAAAAGCAAGAUAUUUUCUGAUGACG